RNAcentral lists this ribosomal RNA (460 nucleotides) under uncultured bacterium. RNAcentral's name for it is "partial 16S ribosomal RNA". It matches the Rfam family "Bacterial small subunit ribosomal RNA", at positions 338 to 795 of the family's 1533-position model. The record is from RNAcentral.
CCUACGGGUGGCAGCAGUGAGGAAUAUUGGUCAAUGGACGAGAGUCUGAACCAGCCAAGUAGCGUGAAGGAUGACUGCCCUAUGGGUUGUAAACUUCUUUUAUAUGGGAAUAAAACGUUCCACGUGUGGGCUUUUGUAUGUACCAUAUGAAUAAGGAUCGGCUAACUCCGUGCCAGCAGCCGCGGUAAUACGGAGGAUCCGAGCGUUAUCCGGAUUUAUUGGGUUUAAAGGGAGCGUAGGUGGAUUGUUAAGUCAGUUGUGAAAGUUUGCGGCUCAACCGUAAAAUUGCAGUUGAAACUGGCAGUCUUGAGUACAGUAGAGGUGGGCGGAAUUCGUGGUGUAGCGGUGAAAUGCUUAGAUAUCACGAAGAACUCCGAUUGCGAAGGCAGCUUACUAAACUGCCACUGACAUUGAUGCUCGAAAGUGUGGGUAUCAAACAGGAUUAGAUACCCUAGUAGUC